RNAcentral lists this unclassified non-coding RNA (385 nucleotides) under uncultured Phycisphaeraceae bacterium. Its description in RNAcentral is "contains 16S-23S intergenic spacer region". Lineage: Bacteria; Pseudomonadati; Planctomycetota; Phycisphaerae; Phycisphaerales; Phycisphaeraceae. The record is from RNAcentral.
UCCGGUUUGACACCGGCAGUCUCAUUAGAGUCCUCGCCAUGACGCGUUAGUAACUAAUGACAAGGGUUGCGCUCGUUAGAGGACUUAACCCGACGCUUCACAGCACGAGCUGACGACAGCCAUGCAGCACCUGUGCUGGUUCCACUCUUGCGAGCGUCAUUCCUGUUUCCAGGAACUAAUCCCAGCAUGUCAAACCCAGGUAAGGUUCUUCGCGUUGCUUCGAAUUAAGCCACAUGCUCCACCGCUUGUGUGAGCCCCCGUCAAUUUCUUUGAGUUUUAAUCUUGCGACCGUACUUCCCAGGCGGUAUGCUUACCAAUUUCUCUACAGUUCCAACGGCGUCAGAGCCGCUGAAACUCAGCAUACAUCGUUUAGGGCGUGGACUAC